UACGGAGGGUGCAAGCGUUAAUCGGAAUUACUGGGCGUAAAGCGCACGCAGGCGGUCUUUUAAGUCAGAUGUGAAAUCCCCGGGCUUAACCCGGGAAUUGCAUUUGAUACUGGUAAACUAGAGUCCUGUAGGGGGGGGUAGAAUUCCAUGUGUAGCGGUGAAAUGCGUAGAGAUGUGGAGGAAUACCGAAGGCGAAGGCAGCCCCUUGGGAAUGUACUGACGCUCAUGUGCGAAAGCGUGGGGAGCAAACAGG
RNAcentral lists this ribosomal RNA (253 nucleotides) under uncultured bacterium. Its description in RNAcentral is "partial 16S ribosomal RNA". It matches the Rfam family "Bacterial small subunit ribosomal RNA", at positions 524 to 776 of the family's 1533-position model. The record is from RNAcentral.